This 451-nucleotide ribosomal RNA is filed under the name uncultured bacterium. Its description in RNAcentral is "bacterial SSU rRNA". It matches the Rfam family "Bacterial small subunit ribosomal RNA", at positions 354 to 796 of the family's 1533-position model. The record is from RNAcentral.
GUCGAGGAUAUUUAGCAAUGCCCGAAAGGGUGACUAUGCGACGCCGCGUGCGCGAUGAAGGUCUUCGGAUUGUAAAGCGCUGUCAGCCGGGAGGAAUCUCGGGGGUUCGAACAGAGCCGCCGGGUGACAGUACCGGCAGAGGAAGCCACGGCUAACUCCGUGCCAGCAGCCGCGGUAAUACGGAGGUGGCAGGCGUUACUCGGAUUGAUUGGGUGUAAAGGGUGUGUAGGCGGUGCGCUAAGUCGAAUGUGAAAUCCCUUGGCUCAACCAAGGAAUUGCAUUCGAAACUGGCGUGCUUGAGUGAUGGAGAGGAAAGCGGAAUUCCCGGUGUAACAGUGAAAUGUGUAGAUAUCGGGAGGAACACCAGUGGCGAAGGCGGCUUUCUGGACAUCUACUGACGCUGAAACACGAGAGCAUGGGGAGCAAACAGGAUUAGAAACCCCGGUAGUCC